AGCAGUUGAAGAAUGUUGCAUUCCCACCCUAAUGCGUACCUGCAUUUCCAGUAUCUUCCAGCAGCAACCUUGUGAAAAGCUGGUGGAGGACUCUUGGGGAGGUUCUUUCGGACCCAGUCUAUGAGAAACUGCUUUGGAGACUUUC
Thalassophryne amazonica is the source of this 145-nucleotide long non-coding RNA. RefSeq lists it as uncharacterized. The record is from RefSeq and is a predicted model, not a curated record. NCBI's taxonomy places the organism in Eukaryota, Metazoa, Chordata, Actinopteri, Batrachoidiformes, Batrachoididae. The transcript has 3 exons.